AGGACGGGGUUUGCGGCGGCUGCCACCCCGGGUCCCCGCGGCGGAGGGAGGCCGCGCGGGCCUCUGCGGGGCGGGGAGGGCCGGCGCCGGCAUUGUUUAGUCUCAGCUAUUCUGAUGUCUAGUUUUGUGCCCUUUGCUAUGUCAAAUCCUAUAUGAAUUUCUGUUUUUAUCUGAUCGAAUGGGACUAGCCCAGUGGUUCUCAAAUUGGCUGGACAUUCAAAUUGCUUGGAAAACUUUUUAAAAACAUAGGGGCCUGCAGUCUUCCCCAGACAAGUUAAUUCAGAAUUUCGGAAGGUGGGGCUGAGGCAUUAGUAUUUUCUUAAGCUCCCUGUGUGAUUAGAAUGAGUCCAACAAUCACUCCCAACUCUAAAACGUUCUGACAUUUUAUAAAACUUGCCGAUUGAGAACCUCAGCAUGUGUUUCAAAUGAGUUCAGAGGAGAGAAUUUCCAGUGUUAGGUGUUGGUGUUUGUUCUAUCAGUUGCAUUCACAAUGUAGGCUGACAAGGGGGGGGGGACAAAAAACAAGAAAAAAAAAUUAACAUGGAAGGUAGACAGGCCGUGCAAACGAGAGCUCAAUCACAGAAGAGCUGUCUCCAGGAGACCAAAGUCAUGCUCUUUAACAUUCUAAGUGAUUCGUUUGUGCAGUGAACCAAAUCUGAGCAGUUCCAAUGUUUGAAAAUGUAAUGACUUAAAUAGAAAUCCUAAUAUACCCUUCAAGGUCAUGAAACAGUUCCUUGGCCUUAGGAAACGUGUAACUUCUGUGAGCUCAUGUAGGUCAAUUUGAUGGGCCUCUUAUAACCUUAAGAUUCAUCUUGCUCCUUAUCUUUCCUCUGCAUUGAAAUAUGUUAAUACCAGCUUUAGAAUCAAAUCAAUUCUUUUCUUUUUAAAUCUGCCGUUUUAAAACCUCCUUUUUAUUUGCACAAUUACCAAGGAGUUGUUAAAUUAGCAUAUUUUCUAGCUCUGAAUGUAAUUAAGCAAAGACCAAAGUACGAAAAGGUCAUCGAAACAAGAGACUAUAAAAGAAAUCUGAGAAUAGCGGUACAUUGCUAUUGAUAGCCUAAAAUUUAAUUUAAAGUCAGUCCUGAAAAUGUGUAAUGGUUAAGGAUUGAGUUUCUAUCCUCAUCCACAUGUUUAAAGAAUCGUCUGUAUUGGCUAUCUCUAACCAAAUUAGUGGGAAUGGGAGAGGGCAGGGAACAACUCACUAAGAAUCUACUCAUCUAUAGUCCUUUUAUCUUUUCAUUUAGAAGGGUAAGCUACUGAAUAUCAUAUAUAUAGUGCGGUACAUAAAAUGUGAUAAAUGCUGCACCUAACACACAAAGUCUACAAUAAACCAUAGAUCUACAAAGGACUAUGAUCUAUGGAUCAGAACUAGCAGAGUUAACAUCAACCCAGUUCCUAGCAACUGUUGCUAACUUAUGGCCAUAGCUAUCAUUUCAGACCCAAUACCCCCUUUAUAAAAGCAAAUAUUGUGUAUACCCACUUCCCUUCCAAAUGAGGCACUCUAUCUUCAACUAUAAUCUUUAAGUAAAUUUAAAUCAAUUUAGAAUAAUGGAUUAUAUGUUACUGUACACUCAUAAUUAUACUAUAUUCCCAUUCCUACACCCCGCUUAAUUAUAAUAAGUAAGUUAGGAUCAGGGAAAGCAAUAUGAGAAAUUAUCCCACAUGAGAAGUUCAGGAAAAAUGAAAGAGCAAAGGCAGAGAUGGACUCUAAGCUAAUAGCAGACCAGUUUUAUCUGUAGACGAUCACACAUAAAGGGGGAAAAAUACUUAACUGAAGUAUGUAUAACAUGCUAAGAUAAAUGACCAUCUGUCAAUGUUGACCAAGAAUGAGGAAGUUUGAUAUUCUUCUGAAUAAGCUAUUUAGAAACGUACUUAUAAAACAAUUCAGUGUGUUAUUCACGAGUUAAGAGUGCCAAUGAAGUGCCCUGGAAACAUUUCAUCCCAGAGCCAGCCACAUGUCCAAAGAUGCAUGCAGUCUGUGGUGGGAAAGAAAAGUGGGCCGGCGGCUCCAGAUGAGGGGAGCCGUGUAGCAACUUGGGGCAAGGACGCAGAUGCCAAAGCUGGGCAUGUCCGACAGGGAGCUCAGGAGGGACUCAGCUUCUGCUUUGGGAGGUGGCAGGAGGUGGGGGGAGGGGAUAGCCCGACCCUGGCGCCUGAAGCACCCCUCCCCUCCCUUCCUACUUGGGUCCCACACAGCGCCCCUCACCCCAUCCUGCCUUGGCCUACCUGUGCCCCACAUACACCCCGAUGCUUCCCUCCCCGUUGCCUGACCCCGAGCCUCCCUGCCUGCCUUCGACCAUCCCCAGUACCCCCAUCCUGCCUUGACCUCCCUGCACCUGGGGCUCCAUCCUGCUUCCCUGCUGGGCACUGGCCUUCUUGGACAUGUGCGUCUCCUGGCAAGCUCUGGAGCCCUGAAGUACCUGAAAUAACCGUAAGUUAAGGAAAAGAAUACAGCUCAAUGAUAAAGAAAAUCUCUAUCAUUUUAUUCAUCGAAUAAUGUUUUUUAUGUUUAGAUAUAAAAUAUGCAUAUCUGUGUGCAUAUGCAUGACUAUAUUUUGGGUUUUUAUGUAAUAAAAUUACAUAUUAACAUUUUAUUUCUUUAAAACAUUGAAGCAUUGUGGCAAAAUGUUAGCAUUUAAAAAUCUUUCUUUUAAGAAAUCAAAUAAUAUACAAAUGCUUGAAAUUUCUUUUUCACCUUUCCUUUAUCCCAUUCCCUUCUUUCCAUCCAAAGACGUAACCGUUAUCCUGAAAUCAGUGUUGUUUUACUUUCCCAGCUGUUUUUUUUUUUUUUUUUUUUUUGCCAGUCCCGCGGCCUGGGGAGGGUGGGGCUCCGGCGAAAGGAUGAGGGGCGGGUUCCCCUCCCGAUCUCAGAGAAUCUCCCAAAAGGGCAGCGGCGUGCCCACUUGCCGCCACCUCAGGCGGCCGCGAACCUUUCAAAUCGCCCGCGCCAAGAGGUACCCGGCGCUCGCGAUUGGCUGAGCCGGACCAGCGCCCCUAGGCGGGGCCUGCCCCCACGGAGCGGCCGCUUGUCCCGCCCUCAGGCAGCGGCCGCGGGUCCCGCCCCGCUGGUGCGCAUGCGCGCAGUCCCCAGAGGAAAGAGUCCGCGCACACCUCCGCCCGGCCUCCGAGUCGCGCCGCGGCUCCCUCGCCUGUCCGCGGAGGCUUGUCGGCUCGGGGAGACAGCAAGAGCUGCGGCCGGCAGGGGGCUGUGCGGACCCAAGGCGGCUGCGGUGGCGCCGGCCUGUGGAAAAUGCCACCAGGCGGCGCUUCGCUUCGUUGCUCAAGUGACGGCCGUUCCCCGCCCCCCGACCCCUGAACCCCCUGCGACCGCCGGGGAAGAACCCGCCCGCGCAGGGAGUACCGCACCGAGACGCUUCGGCGGGAACGAGGCCGACGGCCGGCUGUGCCGGUUGCGCCCCUGAGGUCUCUCCUCUCUGUUGCUGGAUCCCCUGGAAAAGACAGUAUCUAAAGAUGACUUCAGUCUCGUUCAGAACGUGUGGCAAAUGAAAGAUCCCCAAUUGUCUUCACUCAAGGUAAAGCUCUGGUCUCCCAAAAAGGAGGUUGGACUAAAUUGAAUCUUCUGAUUCCAAUUUUAUGAACUGCAUUAAAAUCUCUCUAGGGUGCAGGAUUAUGUUUGUGUUGAAGAAUGACUGCAUUAAGAUAGAUUCAAUUUUCUCCUCCCAUUCCUGCAAAGGGGAGAAAGGUGCUUCCCCUCCACUUCACGCCACUUGAAAUCACCUCAAGAGGAGCUGCAAGGAGACAAGUCAGAAAGUGUGACAUGUUCACCUAAGAGUUUGGGAAACAUUAAACUGAUGUCUGACUCAUGCCCAGGAAAGCUGAAGGGUGAGUGGUUGGUCUAUAUUCUGGGAAACAGUCUAUGAAGAGAGAAAAAUACACUGAAAAAGAGCUGCUUUUCCACUGCCAGCAGGACUUCCCAUGGUCCACAUGUGGGCCACACAGGAGGGAACCAACUGGGACUCAUUUUAAAACAGACCUCUCAAAGAUGGCUUCUUGACAUGCGUGAGGUGACUCAGUUGACCUUGGAGUACACUGGAUGCAUAAACUGAGAGUGGACUGUCAGAAGUGCUGUGUGUACCUGAUAAAGGCAUGACUGCUCUCAGAGAAAAGGAAAACUGUAUGCCUUAUACAUGUGUUUAAUACAAAUUUUAUCGCUACGAAGAAUGUAUAAGAGACAGUAUGCAAAUAAUCAUGAAGCAUACAAUAGUCCAUGUUGUAAAUUCCAUACAGCCAAGGCAUUCUCUGAGAAGCCUUUUUCUAUUGAUUUUUUGAUGAAUUAUUGAAUCCCUAAGCAAACUAGGAUUGCAAAUCAGUGUAGAUAAACAGUAGAUUCAACAUGAAUGUUGGCUGAUAGUUUUGUGUACAUUAAUGACUAAAAUGAAAAGUAAAACAACAAAAACAUGUUGGAACAUCAUCAUUAUCCAUAACAUGAGUGGCUUCUUUGCUAAUUGGAUAAUGUUUUUCAACUACUGGAAGAAAAUAGUUCCUUGGUUUUUGUGCUAUUCACAGUGUAAUGGCUACAAAUGUAAGCUUGGUCUAUAUUAUUAGUAUUUUUUUCCAUUACUUUCUUAAGUCUAUGUGAUCACUCACACAAGAAAUAAAAACCUAAUUUGCAAUA
Camelus dromedarius (Arabian camel) is the source of this 4636-nucleotide long non-coding RNA. RefSeq lists it as uncharacterized. The record is from RefSeq and is a predicted model, not a curated record. Lineage: Eukaryota; Metazoa; Chordata; Mammalia; Artiodactyla; Camelidae. The transcript is spliced from 5 exons.